GACGAACGCUGGCGGCGUGCUUAACACAUGCAAGUCGAACGGCAAGGCCCUGCUUUUGUGCGGUGCUCGAGUGGCGAACGGGUGAGUAACACGUGAGUAACCUGCCCUUCACUUUGGGAUAACUUCAGGAAACUGGGGCUAAUACCGGAUAGGAUCUCCUGCUGCAUGGUGGGCGUUGGAUAGUUUCGGCGGUUGGGGAUGGACUCGCGGCUUAUCAGCUUGUUGGUGGGGUAGUGGCUUACCAAGGCUUUGACGGGUAGCCGGCCUGAGAGGGUGACCGGCGACAUUGGGACUGAGAUACGGCCCAGACUCGUACGGGAGGCAGCAGUGGGGAAUAUUGCACAAUGGGCGGAAGCCUGAUGCAGCAACGCCGCGUGCGGGAUGACGGCCUGCGGGUUGUAAACCGCAUUCGCCUGAGACGAAGCGUGAGUGACGGUAAUGGGUAAAGAAGCACCGGCUAACUACGUG
RNAcentral lists this ribosomal RNA (468 nucleotides) under uncultured bacterium. RNAcentral's name for it is "partial 16S ribosomal RNA". It matches the Rfam family "Bacterial small subunit ribosomal RNA", at positions 28 to 507 of the family's 1533-position model. The record is from RNAcentral.